Molecule: ribosomal RNA, 443 nt
Filed under: uncultured bacterium
Lineage: Bacteria
Description: partial 16S ribosomal RNA
Rfam family: Bacterial small subunit ribosomal RNA
Source: RNAcentral
CCUACGGGAGGCAGCAGUGGGGAAUAUUGGGCAAUGGGCGCAAGCCUGACCCAGCAACGCCGCGGGAAGGAAGAAGGCUUUCGGGUUGUAAACUUCUUUUCUCAGGGACGAAGCAAGUGACGGUACCUGAGGAAUAAGCCACGGCUAACUACGUGCCAGCAGCCGCGGUAAUACGUUGGUGGCAAGCGUUAUCCGGAUUUACUGGGUGUAAAGGGCGUGUAGGCGGGGACGCAAGUCCGAUGUGAAAACCACGGGCUCAACCUGUGGCCUGCAUUUGAAACUGUGUUUCUUGAGUACUGGAGAGGCAGACGGAAUGCCUAGUGUAGCGGUGAAAUGCGUAGAGAUUAGGAGGAACACCAGUGGCGAAGGCGGUCUGCUGGACAGCAACUGACGCUGAGGCGCGAAAGCGUGGGGAGCAAACAGGAUUAGAUACCCGGGUAGUC